AAUAUUAAAGUAUAUAUAAAAAUACGGAAAAAAUUAAGUUUUCCUCGUAUCAGUGAUUUCAAUUAAAGGUUAUAAGUGGACAGCAAGGCCAGUGUUUUUUUUACUAAUUUAUUGUAUUAUACUUCAUCUUAUUUAUGAAACCUCACAGGACCAUUCCUUUUCACACCCUGUUCUCCAUAUUUCUCUAUAUGCUGUCUUUUCUUCCUUUUUCAAACAGUAAUUCCACAUAUUUCUAUAUUAAAUCUUCCCUUCUUGUUUAUCGUCUACCCAGUGGUUUUUUUCCACGUGAAUUUUGAUCUAUCGCUAAAUUCUCCAAGCAUGCCCCGCCCAAUGUAGUUUUCACUUUCUUAUUGCAUUCCGACAUUCAUUAUAUUUGUAUUCUGGAAUAAAGACUCUGGUACUGCAUUUUUGCUCCUUCUCUAUUGUUCACAAUUAUCCUUUAAUGGGUAGACAAUUUUUCUUUUCAAUGCUAAGAAAUUUUCUAGUCUAAUUUAUUUUAUAAACCAUGUUCCCUCCCUGUACAAGUUAAACUAUAAAUCAAAAUAAUAUAUAAUACAUUUUUUUUAAUUCUUUAGAUAAUGAUCGAGGUUUAAAUACCAAGCAAUAAAAACAUUUAUCACAGUUUACUA
This is a non-coding RNA of Cinara cedri, 629 nucleotides long. The record is from the annotation of a GenBank genome assembly. NCBI's taxonomy places the organism in Eukaryota, Metazoa, Arthropoda, Insecta, Hemiptera, Aphididae.